GGGCCCGCACAAGCAGUGGAGCAUGUGGUUUAAUUCGAUGCAACGCGAAGAACCUUACCCAGGCUUGACAUAUAGAGGACCGCUCUAGAGAUAGAGUUUCCCGCAAGGGCCUCUAUACAGGUGCUGCAUGGCUGUCGUCAGCUCGUGCCGUGAGGUGUUGGGUUAAGUCCCGCAACGAGCGCAACCCUUGUCGUUAGUUACCAACACGUAAUGGUGGGGACUCUAACGAGACUGCCUAGGUUAACUAGGAGGAAGGUGAGGAUGACGUCAAGUCCGCAUGGCCUUUAUGUCUGGGGCUACACACGUGCUACAAUGGUCGGUACAGAAGGCAGCGAAGCCGAAAGGUGGAGCAAAUCCCUAAAACCGUGGCUCAGUUCAGAUCGUAGGCUGCAACUCGCCUACGUGAAGGCGGAAUCGCUAGUAAUCG
Molecule: ribosomal RNA, 427 nt
Filed under: uncultured bacterium
Lineage: Bacteria
Description: bacterial SSU rRNA
Rfam family: Bacterial small subunit ribosomal RNA
Source: RNAcentral